UACGAAGGUGGCAAGCGUUAUUCGGAUUUACUGGGCGUACAGGGAGCGUAGGCGGUUCGGUAAGCCCUUUGUGAAAUCUUCAGGCUUAACCUGGGAAUGGCAUUCAGGACUGCGAGGCUCGAGUGUGGCAGAGGGAGGUGGAAUUCCACGUGUAGCAGUGAAAUGCGUAGAGAUGUGGAGGAACUCCGGUGGCGAAGGCGGCGUGCUGGACCUCUUCUGACGCUGAGGCGCGAAAGCCAGGGGAGCGAACGGG
This 253-nucleotide ribosomal RNA is filed under the name uncultured prokaryote. Its description in RNAcentral is "partial 16S ribosomal RNA". It matches the Rfam family "Bacterial small subunit ribosomal RNA", at positions 524 to 776 of the family's 1533-position model. The record is from RNAcentral.